CUUGAUAACAUAAGAGGUCCAGCCUGCCCAGUGACUCAAUUCAACGGCCGCGGUAUCCUAACCGUGCAAAGGUAGCGUAAUCACUUGUCUUCUAAAUAAAGACUAGUAUGAAAGGCACCACGAGAACUAAACUGUCUCCUUUUUCUAAUCAGUGAACCUAAUCUCCCCGUGAAAAAGCAGGGAUUUAAUAAUAAGACGAGAAGACCCUAUGGAGCUUUAAACACAUAACACUGCCCCUUUUACACCACAAUGUUCCAUGCACAAUGAUUAAGAGUUUUUAGUUGGGGUGACUACGGAGUAAACCCACCCUCCGCGAUGAAUCAAACAAGCGACAGCUUUAUACAUCAGCAAACUGACACCAUUGACCCAAUUUAUUGAUCAACGAAC
RNAcentral lists this ribosomal RNA (387 nucleotides) under Pristimantis zeuctotylus (Sipaliwini robber frog). RNAcentral describes it as "partial 16S ribosomal RNA". It matches the Rfam family "Bacterial large subunit ribosomal RNA", at positions 1834 to 2457 of the family's 2925-position model. Lineage: Eukaryota; Metazoa; Chordata; Amphibia; Anura; Strabomantidae. The record is from RNAcentral.